Molecule: ribosomal RNA, 465 nt
Filed under: uncultured Klebsiella sp.
Lineage: Bacteria; Pseudomonadati; Pseudomonadota; Gammaproteobacteria; Enterobacterales; Enterobacteriaceae
Description: bacterial SSU rRNA
Rfam family: Bacterial small subunit ribosomal RNA
Source: RNAcentral
CCUACGGGUGGCUGCAGUGGGGAAUAUUGCACAAUGGGCGCAAGCCUGAUGCAGCCAUGCCGCGUGUGUGAAGAAGGCCUUCGGGCUGUAAAGCACUUUCAGCGGGGAGGAAGGCGUUAAGGUUAAUAACCUUGUCGAUUGACGUUACCCGCAGAAGAAGCACCGGCUAACUCCGCGCCAGCAGCCGCGGUAAUACGGAGGGUGCAAGCGUUAAUCGGAAUUACUGGGCGUAAAGCGCACGCAGGCGGUCUGUCAAGUCGGAUGUGAAAUCCCCGGGCUCAACCUGGGAACUGCAUUCGAAACUGGCAGGCUAGAGUCUUGUAGAGGGGGGUAGAAUUCCAGGUGUAGCGGUGAAAUGCGUAGAGAUCUGGAGGAAUACCGGUGGCGAAGGCGGCCCCCUGGACAAAGACUGACGCUCAGGUGCGAAAGCGUGGGGAGCAAACAGGAUUAGAUACCCCUGUAGUC